GACGAACGCUGGCGGCGUGCUUAACACAUGCAAGUCGAACGGGCCCGCUCUCUUUUUUGGGGGUGGGUUGAGUGGCGAACGGGUGAGUAUCACGUGAGUAACCUGCCCCCUGCUCCUGGAUAACUGCUUGAAAGGGCGGCUAAUACGGGGUGUGCCGGCUGGUCCGCAUGGGCCUGGUCGGGAUAGUUUCAUCUUCGGGUGUUUCGGUGGGGGAUGGGCUCGCGGCCUAUCAGCUUGUUGGGGGGGUGAUGGCCCACCAAGGCGGUGACGGGUAGCCGGCCUGAGAGGGUGGGCGGCCACACUGGGACUGAGACACGGCCCAGACUCCUGCGGGAGGCAGCAGUGGGGGGUAUUGCGCAAUGGGCGGAAGCCUGAUGCAGCGACGUCGCGUGAGGGAUGGAGGCCUUCGGGUUGUGAACCUCUUUCUCCGGUGGUGAAGGCCCUGUCCGUUGCGGCGGGGUUGACGGUAGCCGGGUAUGAAGCGCCGGCUAACUACGUG
RNAcentral lists this ribosomal RNA (499 nucleotides) under uncultured bacterium. Its description in RNAcentral is "partial 16S ribosomal RNA". It matches the Rfam family "Bacterial small subunit ribosomal RNA", at positions 28 to 507 of the family's 1533-position model. The record is from RNAcentral.